CCUACGGGAGGCAGCAGUGAGGAAUAUUGGUCAAUGGACGAGAGUCUGAACCAGCCAAGUAGCGUGAAGGAUGACUGCCCUAUGGGUUGUAAACUUCUUUUAUAUGGGAAUAAAAUGUUCCACGUGUGGGAUUUUGUAUGUACCAUAUGAAUAAGGAUCGACUAACUCCGUGCCAGCAGCCGGGGUAAUACGGAGGCUCCGAGCGUUAUCCGGUUUUAUUGGGUUUAAAGGGAGCGUAGGUGGAUUGUUAAGUCAGUUGUGAAAGUUUGCGGCUCAACCGUAAAAUUGCAGUUGAAACUGGCAGUCGUGAGUACAGUAGAGGUGGGCGGAAUUCGUGGUGGAGCGGUGAAAUGCUUAGAUAUCACGAAGAACUCCGAGUGCGAAGGCAGCUCACUGGACUGCAACUGACACUGAGGCUCGAAAGUGUGGGUAUCAAACAGGAUUAGAUACCCGUGUAGUC
Molecule: ribosomal RNA, 460 nt
Filed under: uncultured bacterium
Lineage: Bacteria
Description: partial 16S ribosomal RNA
Rfam family: Bacterial small subunit ribosomal RNA
Source: RNAcentral